GAUGAACGCUGGCGGCGUGCCUAAUACAUGCAAGUCGAGCGAACGGACGAGAAGCUUGCUUCUCUGAUGUUAGCGGCGGACGGGUGAGUAACACGUGGAUAACCUACCUAUAAGACUGGGAUAACUUCGGGAAACCGGAGCUAAUACCGGAUAAUAUUUUGAACCGCAUGGUUCAAAAGUAAAAGACGGUCUUGCUGUCACUUAUAGAUGGAUCCGCGCUGCAUUAGCUAGUUGGUAAGGUAACGGCUUACCAAGGCAACGAUGCAUAGCCGACCUGAGAGGGUGAUCGGCCACACUGGAACUGAGACACGGUCCAGACUCCUACGGGAGGCAGCAGUAGGGAAUCUUCCGCAAUGGGCGAAAGCCUGACGGAGCAACGCCGCGUGAGUGAUGAAGGUCUUCGGAUCGUAAAACUCUGUUAUUAGGGAAGAACAUAUGUGUAAGUAACUGUGCACAUCUGGACGGUACCUAAGCAGAAAGCCACGGCUAACUACGU
Molecule: ribosomal RNA, 496 nt
Filed under: uncultured bacterium
Lineage: Bacteria
Description: partial 16S ribosomal RNA
Rfam family: Bacterial small subunit ribosomal RNA
Source: RNAcentral